UGUGUAUGCAGGAUGUAGAUGACUUGAAAAUUUUUUUUGGAAGAGGCUCAUGGUUCCCGAUAUUCCAUUAAUCUGGGUUACACCAACAUGUAUCGUGGUCUAUUGGUGGAACGGAUUGAAGAAGGAUAUAGCAGAGUUUGUGAACCUUAAUGUCAAAAGUUCAAGGAUGAACGUCAAUGACAAGGAGGUUUAACUCAAUAAAUAACUAUCCUUACUUGGAAAUGGGAAGCUGUCAUAAUGAUACCGUUGCGGGUUUGCUUCGCACCUAGAGGCAAAAUGACUAAAUGUGGGCUAUAAUGGAUAGAUUAAAAAAUCUGCCCAUUUUAUCCCUGUCAAAAUCACUUAUUCGGCGAAUGAGUAUGAUAAAUUGUAUCUUAAUGAUAUUGUGAGUUUUCAUGGGGUUCCCUUCUCUAUCAUCUCGGAUAGGAGUCUAAAAUUCACUUCAAGGUUUUUGAAAGCUUUCCAAAGUGCACGAGAUACCAAGGUGAAACUUAGUACCGCAUUUCAUCCACAAACGGAUGGUUUGGCGGAACAACCAUCUAAACUCAAAAAGACAUGUUGAGGGCAGGUGUCUUGACUUCAAGGUUAAUUGGGAUUACCGUCUACCAUUUAUUGAAUUUGCCUAUAAUAAUAGUUAUUAUUCGAGUAUUUCCAUGAAACCCUUUGAGGCCUUUUAUGGGAGGAGAUGUAGAUUUCCAAUCGGGUGAUUUUAGGUAGGUGAGUUUCCUCUAAUAUGUCCAGAAUCAAUUUAUGAGGUUGUGCAGAAAGUACGACAUAUAAUGGAUUGUUUGAAGACAUCCCAAAGUCGGAAAAACACUUAUGCCAACAAUAAGAAGAGGGACAAGGGACCUUGAGUUUAUGGUAGGUGACUUGGUUUAAUUGAAGAUAUCACCUAUGAAAGGGGUGAUGAGGUUUGGGAUUAAAGGGAAAUUUAGUCUGUUAUGUGGGGCCAUAUGAGGUUUUAAAAUGCAUCGGAAGUGUUGCCUAUGAGUUGAAGUUAUCUAUUUAGUUGGCUCCGGUCCAUCCAGUUUUCCAUGUGUCCAUGUUCAAAAGGUUCAUAGGUGAUUUGGUUUCUAUUCUUCCACUAGAAGUCUACUUGAGAGGCCGAGGCUGACAUUAUUUCUCGAUAUCCUCUAGUCAAGGUUGAGGUUCGGACCAUGGAAGUGUUUCGAGGACAAAUCGCAAGAAGCAUGAAUAGAUUCCAAAGUUAGUGAGUCCUCAAGUCCGAGGACAAAAUCCAUAAAUCUAGAUCUUUCUAUUUGUUUAGUCUAAAGACAUUGUUCUAUUUCUUAUCCUUUAAAGACUAUGUUGUUCUACUUAUGAGAUAUUGUAACAGUGUAAGGGCUAUGUCCUAAAUCUUGUACUCUUAUGUUAGAUAGGUAUAUGUGUGACAAUAUAGACAACUUUCGAUA
Long non-coding RNA from Solanum lycopersicum (tomato), 1412 nucleotides. RefSeq lists it as uncharacterized. Lineage: Eukaryota; Viridiplantae; Streptophyta; Magnoliopsida; Solanales; Solanaceae. The record is from RefSeq and is a predicted model, not a curated record.